This is a long non-coding RNA of Zophobas morio, 509 nucleotides long. RefSeq lists it as uncharacterized. The record is from RefSeq and is a predicted model, not a curated record. The transcript has 3 exons. NCBI's taxonomy places the organism in Eukaryota, Metazoa, Arthropoda, Insecta, Coleoptera, Tenebrionidae.
GCCGAUAGAACUCAUGGAAUCCAGAAUCAAUAUGGAAUGAUAAAAUUCGUCAAAAAGUUAAAACACUUUAUUAACUUCGAAAGAAGAGAUUUAUAGAAGUCCUACAUCGAAGGGAUAACAGCUCUACUUGGAGCCCCCCGUAAACCUUCAGAAGUUUAUUGGAGUAACGUACAUAAUUGGCCAAUAAAAAUAAAAUAAAACGCAUUAUGAAAGACAGUACAGACGAGCUAGUGUUUAGUGGCGUAUACAUCCGUCUUCGUUCCUCUGAGAGUUUUUAAUUGGUUCUUGGAAAUUUUUCUGGAACUAUGAGGCCAAACAAAGCCAAUCAAAUCAAUCUCCAAUCGUUGAGUCAAGGAAUUACUAAAGAGUUGUUACUCUGUCGAGCAGCCUAUUGGAUGCCAUAGGGACCCUGGGGCAUAUCAGCCGCCUCGUUGGCGCUACUGGAUAGUAAGGCUCCUUAUCAAGAAAGGUAAUUUUCAUUGGUCACUACUAUGCAUUUCGUUUGUCCA